AAGUCGUAACAAGGUCUCCGUUAGUAAACCAGCGGAGGGAUCAUUACCGAGUUAUUACUCCAAACCCUUUAUAAACCUUACCUUUUUAUUACUCGGCGCACCGCGGGCCGCGGCUUCGGCCCGUCCCACAGCGCGCCAGAGGACCCAACUCUUCAAUUUAUAGCAUACCUUCUAAUUUACAAAACAAACAAGUUAAAACUUUCAACAACGGAUCUCUUAGUUCUA
This 225-nucleotide unclassified non-coding RNA is filed under the name fungal sp. RNAcentral describes it as "partial internal transcribed spacer region". Lineage: Eukaryota; Fungi. The record is from RNAcentral.